CUUAAAAUUGUUAGAGUAAUAGUAGAAGUAGAAAUCAAGACAUUUUGUGAAAGUGCAAAUUUAGUUAAUCCACUCGCUUUCUUCAAGUAUAUACUCCUAACACCUCUUAUAACUCCCUAUGGAUUCGAUCCCGACUCAUAGUUGGGUAAUUUAUAUUGCAUACGACUGUAUCAUAUCUCUUAUCGAGGUGUGUUGUGGACGUCAUCAUAGCCUCGGGGGCCUAGAUCCCUUGGUGGUGGUUUGGAAGGCCCUGCCACAUCUCUUUUAACCGUUCCCCGAUUACUUCUGACCAGCUCUGGUCUUGCGAUUGGUCCCUGUUAUCGAAGGGCUGAGUAAGGUUCGAACCGGCCCCACAUAUUCCUCUGCCCAAAUUUCGGUAUACCUUUUAGCCUUUUCUGGAAGAGACUCCUUACUUCGUUCGGCACCGUGGCUCUAAGGCCAUCUUCAAUCUACAUCUUGGAUGUAUACAUGUGAUUCACUUCAUUUAAAGUUUUAGCAGGGAACUCCUUCAGGCUUUCUUUUAGCUUCCACGAACCGUCAUACCUAUUCGGUUUCAUAUCAUCAGUAAAUGCGGCUGCAGCCUAGUCCUCCGAUAUUGUAGGCAACAUCAUUAUUUCUCGUUGGGAUCUCUCCAUAAAGCUUGAAGCAAUUCCCCAUCGCGUUGCUUUAUUUUGAAGAUGCAUUUCAUUUGGGUCUCAACCUUUUGAGCCCCAAUAUGAGCCUCUACAAAAACAUCCGGAAGCAUAGCAGAAGAGUCGAUAUAAUGUUUAGGCAUUUCAGUUCUGGCUCGGAACUCGAUGUUGGCUGACGGGUUGGUGAGCAUGUGGUCCAGUUGAAAAUGGGGUCAUGACCAGGGAAAAGAUCCAUUGGGAACGGUGUUAUUGCUCUAUCGGUCAGGAGUGACUUUGAUUAUUUCGAGAUGGCACCGUUGCCUUGAGAUACUAGUGAUAAUAACUUUGAAGCCCCUAACAGGGGUCACCAACCGCGAUACAGCUGAGUGUCAAUUCUGACUGGGCCAAAGCUUCCACGUUCACAUCCUCGUUAGUCCACCUAGCAGGCCCGAAUUUUCACCCCAUACAAUGUUCCUGAUUAUCUAGUUUGGAAGGUUUUUGGGGACCUUAUUAGCUUCUUUCGGCAAAAGGUUUUCGGUACUAUAUCGCAUUUGUGGACUGCAAACAUCAUUGCUGACACACUUGAUCAGGGUACUGAUAAAUAUGGAACAUUGUUGACAAGAAGUUCAUUUAUGUUACAAAGUGUAUUUUAGAAGAUAAAAAUUACUGGAUUCGAUCUAUGAUCAUACCUAAUACUUUAGCUCCUUGGGCUUUCAAUAAUAGCAUAUUGACUUGAAGAAAUAAUUAAACCGGUCAAUAUUGUAUUUGGCCAUACUAGAUAAAAUCCUUUGAAUGAAAUUUUUCAUUGUUAUUCUAGAUAAGGUCAUUAUUUCGUGCAUUCGAAUGUAUU
This is a long non-coding RNA of Nicotiana tabacum (common tobacco), 1461 nucleotides long. RefSeq lists it as uncharacterized. The record is from RefSeq and is a predicted model, not a curated record. Lineage: Eukaryota; Viridiplantae; Streptophyta; Magnoliopsida; Solanales; Solanaceae.